AGCAGCCGCGGUAAUUCCAGCUCCAAUAGCGUAUAUUAAAGUUGUUGCAGUUAAAAAGCUCGUGGUUGAAUUUCGGGAUCAAUAUGUUGGUCGUGCCUUGGUACGUACUAAUUUAUUGGUUUCUUCCUUCUGACGAACCAUGAUGUCAUUAAUUUGGUGUCUUGGGGAAUCAGGACUGUUACUUUGAAAAAAUUAGAGUGUUUAAAGCAGGCUCACGCUUGAAUACAUUAGCAUGGAAUAAUGAAAUAGGAUGUUUGAUUCUAUUUGUUGGUUUCUAGGAUCGACGUAAUGAUUAAUAGGGAUAGUUGGGGGCAUUAGUAUUCAAUUGUCAGAGGUGAAAUUCUUGGAUUUAUUGAAGACUAACUACUGCGAAAGCAUUUGCCAAGGAUGUUUUCAUUAAUCAAGAACGAAAGUUAGGGGAUCGAAGACGGAUCAGAUACCGUCGUAGUCUUAACCAUAAACUAUAGCCGACUAGGGAUCGGANGAUGUUAAUUUUUAAUGAACUCAUUCGGNGCCUUAC
Molecule: ribosomal RNA, 520 nt
Filed under: uncultured Glomus
Lineage: Eukaryota; Fungi; Glomeromycota; Glomeromycetes; Glomerales; Glomeraceae
Description: SSU rRNA
Rfam family: Eukaryotic small subunit ribosomal RNA
Source: RNAcentral